AGCUUUGCGCAGUGGCAGUAUCGUAGCCAAUGAGGUUUAUCCGAGGCGCGAUUAUUGCUAACUGAUUAAGGGCAUCGACUCUGGAGUCAGGCUGCCUGGGUUUGAAUCUCAGGGAAAGAAUUCAACCU
Molecule: small nuclear RNA, 128 nt
Filed under: Chinchilla lanigera (long-tailed chinchilla)
Lineage: Eukaryota; Metazoa; Chordata; Mammalia; Rodentia; Chinchillidae
Description: U4 spliceosomal RNA (ENSCLAG00000021094.1)
Rfam family: U4 spliceosomal RNA
About the family: U4 small nuclear RNA (U4 snRNA) is a component of the major U2-dependent spliceosome. The structure of U4 snRNA from yeast and human has been reported. U4 snRNA presents a k-turn RNA motif in the 5p-SL related to recognition of Snu13 protein.
Source: Rfam by way of RNAcentral